RNAcentral lists this ribosomal RNA (253 nucleotides) under uncultured prokaryote. Its description in RNAcentral is "partial 16S ribosomal RNA". It matches the Rfam family "Bacterial small subunit ribosomal RNA", at positions 525 to 777 of the family's 1533-position model. The record is from RNAcentral.
ACGUAGGGACCAAGCGUUGUUCGGAUUUACUGGGCGUAAAGGGCGCGUAGGCGGCGCGGUAAGUCACUUGUGAAAUCUCUGAGCUUAACUCAGAACGGCCAAGUGAUACUGCAGUGCUAGAGUGUGGAAGGGGCAAUCGGAAUCCUUGGUGUAGCGGUGAAAUGCGUAGAUAUCAGGAGGAACACCGGUGGCGAAGGCGGAUCUCUGGACCAGUUCUGACACUGAUGAGCGAAAGCCAGGGGAGCAAACAGGA